Molecule: unclassified non-coding RNA, 345 nt
Filed under: soil metagenome
Description: partial contains 5.8S ribosomal RNA, internal transcribed spacer 2, and large subunit ribosomal RNA
Rfam family: 5.8S ribosomal RNA (bases 1-121)
Source: RNAcentral
GAUGAAGAACGCAGCGAAAUGCGAUAAGUAAUGCGAAUUGCAGAAUUUCCGUGAGUCAUCGAAUCUUUGAACGCACAUUGCGCCCACUGGUAUUCCGGUGGGCAUGCCUGUUCGAGCGUCAUUAUCCUCCCUCAAACCCCGGGUUUGGUGUUGGACCCAAGUUGUGUGAACAACUGGUCUCAAAGACAAUGACGGCGUCCGUGGGACCCUCGGUGCAACGAGCUUUUAGGAGCACGCAUCGAGUUGCAAGGACCUUCAGGGCCGGUCUCCUUUACCAUUUUACAAGGUUGACCUCGGAUCAGGUAGGAAUACCCGCUGAACUUAAGCAUAUCAAUAAGCGGAGGA